Molecule: ribosomal RNA, 424 nt
Filed under: Verrucomicrobiota bacterium
Lineage: Bacteria; Pseudomonadati; Verrucomicrobiota
Description: Verrucomicrobia bacterium partial 16S ribosomal RNA
Rfam family: Bacterial small subunit ribosomal RNA
Source: RNAcentral
UGAGGAAUAUUGGUCAAUGGACGCAAGUCUGAACCAGCCAAGUAGCGUGCAGGAUGACGGCCCUAUGGGUUGUAAACUGCUUUUAUAUGGGGAUAAAGUGGGGAACGUGUUCCCUUUUGCAGGUACCAUAUGAAUAAGGACCGGCUAAUUCCGUGCCAGCAGCCGCGGUAAUACGGAAGGUUCGGGCGUUAUCCGGAUUUAUGGGGUUUAAAGGGAGCGUAGGCUGUUUGUUAAGCGUGUUGUGAAAUGUAAGAGCUCAACUUUUAGAUUGCAGCGCGAACUGGCAGACUUGAGUGCGCACAACGUAGGCGGAAUUCAUGGUGUAGCGGUGAAAUGCUUAGAUAUCAUGACGAACUCCGAUUGCGAAGGCAGCUUACGGGAGCGCAACUGACGCUAAAGCUCGAAGGUGCGGGUAUCGAACAGG